RNAcentral lists this ribosomal RNA (458 nucleotides) under uncultured bacterium. Its description in RNAcentral is "SSU rRNA". It matches the Rfam family "Bacterial small subunit ribosomal RNA", at positions 26 to 518 of the family's 1533-position model. The record is from RNAcentral.
AGAAUCAACGCUGGCGGCGUGCCUAACACAUGCAAGUCGAACGAGAAAGGGUAGCAAUACCUGAGUACAGUGGCGCACGGGUGAGUAACACGUGACUAACCUACCCUGGAGUGGGGAAUAACUGAGGGAAACCUUAGCUAAUACCGCAUAAUACCUACGGGUCAAAGGAGCAAUUCGCUUCAGGAGGGGGUCGCGGCCGAUUAGUUAGUUGGCGGGGUAAUGGCCCACCAAGACAGUGAUCGGUAUCCGGCCUGAGAGGGCGCACGGACACACUGGAACUGAAACACGGUCCAGACUCCUACGGGAGGCAGCAGUGGGGAAUUUGCGCAAUGGGGGAAACCCUGACGCAGCAACGCCGCGUGGAGGAUGAAAUCCCUUGGGAUGUAAACUCCUUUCGAUCGGGACGAUUAUGACGGUACCGGAAGAAGAAGCCCGGCUAACUUCGUGCCAGCAGCCGC